RNAcentral lists this small nuclear RNA (142 nucleotides) under Trifolium pratense (red clover). Its description in RNAcentral is "snRNA U4". It matches the Rfam family "U4 spliceosomal RNA". From Rfam's summary of the family: U4 small nuclear RNA (U4 snRNA) is a component of the major U2-dependent spliceosome. Lineage: Eukaryota; Viridiplantae; Streptophyta; Magnoliopsida; Fabales; Fabaceae. The record is from RNAcentral.
AUCUUUGUGCUUGGGGCAAUUACGCAGCUAAUAAUGUACUAACUGAGGCGUGUCUAUUGCUGGUUGAAAACUAUUUCCAAACCCCCUCUUAGGCUUGGGGUCUCAGACCCCAAGCCUUUAUUAGGUAUUAGGUACUAGUAUC